GGCUCCAUAGUGUAGUGGUUAGCACAUCUGCUUUACACGCAGAAGAUCCUGGGUUCA
Molecule: transfer RNA, 57 nt
Filed under: Pteropus alecto (black flying fox)
Lineage: Eukaryota; Metazoa; Chordata; Mammalia; Chiroptera; Pteropodidae
Rfam family: tRNA
About the family: Transfer RNA (tRNA) molecules are approximately 80 nucleotides in length. Their secondary structure includes four short double-helical elements and three loops (D, anti-codon, and T loops).
Source: Rfam by way of RNAcentral